GCGUGAGUGAAGAAGGCCUUAGGGUUGUAAAGCUCUUUCGGCGGGGAAGAUGAUGACGGUACCCGCAGAAGAAGCCCCGGCUAACUCCGUGCCAGCAGCCGCGGUAAUACGGAGGGGGCUAGCGUUGUUCGGAAUUACUGGGCGUAAAGCGCACGUAGGCGGCGGAACGAGUCAGAGGUGAAAGGCCCGGGCUUAACCUGGGAACGGCCUUUGAUACUGUUUUGCUGGAGUCCGGAAGAGGGUAGUGGAACUCCCAGUGUAGAGGUGAAAUUCGU
This 275-nucleotide ribosomal RNA is filed under the name uncultured bacterium. Its description in RNAcentral is "partial 16S ribosomal RNA". It matches the Rfam family "Bacterial small subunit ribosomal RNA", at positions 399 to 691 of the family's 1533-position model. The record is from RNAcentral.